RNAcentral lists this ribosomal RNA (450 nucleotides) under uncultured Clostridium sp. RNAcentral's name for it is "bacterial SSU rRNA". It matches the Rfam family "Bacterial small subunit ribosomal RNA", at positions 68 to 525 of the family's 1533-position model. Lineage: Bacteria; Bacillati; Bacillota; Clostridia; Eubacteriales; Clostridiaceae. The record is from RNAcentral.
GGGGUGCAGCAUCUGGCUUGCCAGAAGCUGUUACCUAGUGGCGAACGGGUGAGUAACACGUGGGUAACCUGCCCAAGAGACCGGGAUAACAGUUCGAAAGGGCUGCUAAUACCGGAUACCCUGUAUAGGAGGCAUCUUUUAUACAGGAAAUGAUUUAUUGCUCUUGGAUGGGCCCGCGUCCCAUUAGCUAGUUGGUGAGGUAACGGCUCACCAAGGCUUCGAUGGGUAGCCGGCCUGAGAGGGUGUACGGCCACACUGGGACUGAGACACGGCCCAGACUCCUACGGGAGGCAGCAGUGGGGAAUAUUGCGCAAUGGGGGCAACCCUGACGCAGCGACGCCGCGUGAGCGAAGAAUGCCUUCGGGUUGUAAAGCUCUGUCUAGGGGGAAGAUAGUGACGGUACCCCUGGAGGAAGCCCCGGCUAACUACGUGCCAGCAGCCGCGGUAAUA